CUUUGAUCCUGGCUCAGGAUGAACGCUAGCUACAGGCUUAACACAUGCAAGUCGAGGGGCAGCGGGAUUGAAGCUUGCUUCAAUUGCCGGCGACCGGCGCACGGGUGAGUAACGCGUAUCCAACCUUCCGUACACUCAGGGAUAGCCUUUCGAAAGAAAGAUUAAUACCUGAUGGUAUGAUGAGAUUGCAUGGUAUCAUCAUUAAAGAUUUAUCGGUGUACGAUGGGGAUGCGUUCCAUUAGGUAGUAGGCGGGGUAACGGCCCACCUAGCCAACGAUGGAUAGGGGUUCUGAGAGGAAGGUCCCCCACAUUGGAACUGAGACACGGUCCAAACUCCUACGGGAGGCAGCAGUGAGGAAUAUUGGUCAAUGGACGAGAGUCUGAACCAGCCAAGUAGCGUGAAGGAUGAAGGUCCUACGGAUUGUAAACUUCUUUUAUAAGGGAAUAAACCCUCCCACGUGUGGGAGCUUGUAUGUACCUUAUGAAUAAGCAUCGGCUAACUCCGUGCCAGCAGCCGCGGUAAUACGGAGGAUGCGAGCGUUAUCCGGAUUUAUUGGGUUUAAAGGGAGCGCAGACGGGUCGUUAAGUCAGCUGUGAAAGUUUGGGGCUCAACCUUAAAAUUGCAGUUGAUACUGGCGUCCUUGAGUGCGGUUGAGGUGUGCGGAAUUCGUGGUGUAGCGGUGAAAUGCUUAGAUAUCACGAAGAACUCCGAUUGCGAAGGCAGCACACUAAUCCGUAACUGACGUUCAUGCUCGAAAGUGUGGGUAUCAAACAGGAUUAGAUACCCUGGUAGUCCACACGGUAAACGAUGGAUACUCGCUGUUGGCGAUAUACUGUCAGCGGCUUAGCGAAAGCGUUAAGUAUCCCACCUGGGGAGUACGCCGGCA
RNAcentral lists this ribosomal RNA (887 nucleotides) under uncultured Bacteroidota bacterium. Its description in RNAcentral is "bacterial SSU rRNA". It matches the Rfam family "Bacterial small subunit ribosomal RNA", at positions 11 to 890 of the family's 1533-position model. The record is from RNAcentral. Lineage: Bacteria; Pseudomonadati; Bacteroidota.